GACGAACGCUGGCGGCGUGCUUAGCACAUGCGAGUCGAACGGAAAGGCCCUGCUUUUGUGGGGUGCUCGAGUGGCGAACGGGUGAGUAACACGUGAGUAACCUGCCCUUGACUUUGGGAUAACUUCAGAAAACUGGGGCUAAUACCGGAUAGGAGCUCCUGCUGCAUGGUGGGGGUUGGAAAGUUUCGGCGGUUGGGGAUGGACUCGCGGCUUAUCAGCUUGUUGGUGGGGUAGUGGCUUACCAAGGCUUUGACGGGUAGCCGGCCUGAGAGGGUGACCGGCCACAUUGGGACUGAGAUACGGCCCAGACUCCUACGGGAGGCAGCAGUGGGGAAUAUUGCACAAUGGGCGGAAGCCUGAUGCAGCAACGCCGCGUGCGGGAUGACGGCCUUCGGGUUGUAAACCGCUUUCGCCUGUGACGAAGCGUGAGUGACGGUAAUGGGUAAAGAAGCACCGGCUAACUACGUG
This 468-nucleotide ribosomal RNA is filed under the name uncultured bacterium. RNAcentral describes it as "partial 16S ribosomal RNA". It matches the Rfam family "Bacterial small subunit ribosomal RNA", at positions 28 to 507 of the family's 1533-position model. The record is from RNAcentral.